CUACUACUCGCUCCGUCCCGAAUUACUUGUCGCAGAAAUGGAUGUAUCUAGACCUAAAAAAUGUCUAGAUACAUCCAUUUCUACGACAAGUAAUUCUGAACGUAGGGAGUAGUAA
Molecule: non-coding RNA, 115 nt
Organism: Triticum aestivum (bread wheat)
Lineage: Eukaryota; Viridiplantae; Streptophyta; Magnoliopsida; Poales; Poaceae
Source: Rfam